CGACUCUUUAAGACCCCAUGGACAGUAGCCUACCAGGUUCCACUGUCCAUGGGAUUUUCCAGGCAAGAAUACUGGAGUGGGCUGUCAUUUCCUUCUACAGCGGAUCUUCCCAACCCAGGGAUCGAACCCAGGUCUCCUGCAUUGCAGACAGACGGUUUACCGUCUGAGCCACCAGGGAAGCCCACUUGCUUAUCACACGUACCUCCUCUUGAAAAAUAAAAAGACAUCAAGCAGGACUGUUCUUAGAAAGGAUGGGAUUCCUAUGUCACGUUGUCACUUCAGUACAUGGAUCAGCUGCCACGGAAGACAGGAGACACACAUCGACGCUGAGCGUCUCCCUGGAGUGAGUACCACGGGGUUUCAGUGACAGAGGAGUGCAAAGGGGCUCUAAUGCAACAAGAAACCUUUGGAAAAAGGUUAUUUUAAAAUCCAUGCUGACAAUGAACUUGUUCUUAAGCAUAAUUAAUGGAAGAAACACACUGUAGGAAUCAUUUGUAGCUGAAAUUAGCUGAAAUCCAAAGCUCCUUGGGAGUUUCUGGCAUUUGAAAGUGUAGACUGUUGCCAAGUUCAAGGAGCAGUUCAUUAGCUAGGUAAACUUCUGGAGUACUUGUGUACCCUGUCAACCAAGGCAUUAAAGAGAGGAGCCCAUUUUUUUAGACACCAGCUUUCUCUUUUUGAAAGCUGUUCAAUUCCAAAAGCAAAAUUCUAAAAGAGAAUACCAGAAUAGAAAUGAAUAGAGGCAGGUCUGAGAGGAAUGACAUUACCAGUUAAAAUAAUGAAAUUGCUCCCUCUGUUUAGAAGAAAAACCAGUCUGGCGAGGUUGGGAAAUUUGGGGAUGAACAGCGAAGAUGUAUUGCUUUGAGUAUCUUUGUUGAUAGGUAAAACAUGUGAUCCACUUAUAGUAAUUAUAUGAAUUAAUUUUUGUUGAUAAUUAUUGUUAAGGAAAAAGGGUUAGCUUUAGCAUUUCAAAUUGACUGGGACAGUGGUUAAAACAGGAGACCUAGGUUAUGACUUCUUUUUAAAAGGUCAUAUCAUAUCCGUGAAAGUUUGUAGGUUAGGUUGUUUGUAGCACAUAGUAGGCAUCUUUUAAAGGAAAAUAGGGAAAUCAAAUUGGUGAGGUAAGUAAAAGAUCAUGUAAGAAGUGGGCACAAUUUUUUUCUAACAGAAAAUUUAUUUUAGAAAGAUGGCUUUCUACUUACUCAAAUGUUUCUUUACUGAGGACAAUACAUGACUAUUAAGUAAAUUGUCUCCUUCAGAGCUGUAAAUGUUUAAGAGAUUACACCUGAUGUGUCAGACCAGGAAAUAUCCCAGAAUGUUUCUAGGAGAUAUAAAAAUGUUCCCAGCAAAUAAGUUUAUGCUCAGAAAUGAUUAUUACAUGUAUUAGUUGGCCUAAAAUUUUGAUAGUGUGCUCUGUCUAAACUCUUAGCUUUUGAGACUCUAGAUCCAAACUUAUAUCACAUACUCUAAGUUUUGGGGCAAACUUUGACUUUAUUCUCCUUAUGUGCCCACCUCCCAUAACAUUUAUUGUAGCCUUCAGAAUUCACUUUGUGCAAAUGGAUAACUUGAUUUAAAAGUUUAAUUCAUAAUUAAGUUUAUUUUGUGUGAUUGUAUCUGAAGAUGACUUGAAAGCAGAUGUUGAAACCUGCUUUCAUGUUGAGAGGGUAACAGGCAGGAAGGCCAGGGGUCUCCAAAUAGAGGAAAUAGCCUGCAAGUGUCAGACAUUUUUAUCUCUCUUAAGCGGCAGGAGGAAACAAACUAGCAAUAUUUUUUCCUUCUCUAUACAAAUUUAAAGGGAGGUUUCUCUUAAAAUAUUGUGUUGCCAUAAUGACACCUGGCUUCGCCUGAAGUUAGCUAUUCUCGAGUCUAGAGAUAACCAAUGCCUUUUUCUUAUGGAAAUGUUUGUCUUAAGCUAUGCUAAUGUACUAUGCCUUUACCCCAAACUCUGUCUCCAAGUCGGUUCUGCCUCUUGGCCCAGAACCUACUUGACAAACCAGUGUGGAUAUUGUUCCCCUAAUCUAUGUAAAUGAAACUAUUUGUAUGGUGGUCUGCCCUUCUUCAAGAUUCAAGUUAAUCAUUUUAUGGCCCAGGAUAAACCAUUUAUCCCAAAAUGCAUCUUAUGGGUGAGGGGCCUGGUGCCAUUCUGAAUUUUAAGAUAUUCCUUUCUUUCAUUAACAGACUGCUAGUGACUAUAUAACAUCCAGCUAAAUACUAGCAGGGGGGUACUCUUUCUGCCCCCUUCUGAUGCCUAUGUCAGAAGCUUUCUCUAUCUCCUUUAUACUUUAAUAAAACUUUAUUACACAAAAGCUCUGAGCGAUCA
Long non-coding RNA from Bos indicus x Bos taurus (hybrid cattle), 2317 nucleotides. The record is from Ensembl. Lineage: Eukaryota; Metazoa; Chordata; Mammalia; Artiodactyla; Bovidae.